GUACCAUAACCGACACAGGUGGGUAGGUAGAGUAUACUAAGGGGCGCGAGAUAACUCUCUCUAAGGAACUCGGCAAAAUGACUCCGUAACUUCGGGAGAAGGAGUGCCUUAUUUAUAAGGUUGCAAUAACAAGAUCCAAGCAACUGUUUAUCAAAAACACAGGUCUCCGCUAAGUCGUAAGACGAUGUAUGGGGGCUGACGCCUGCCCAGUGCCAGAAGGUUAAAGAAGUUGGUUAGUGUAUGCGAAGCUGAUGACUGAAGCCCUGGUGAACGGCGGCCGUAACGAUAACGGUCCUAAGGUAGCGAAAUUCCUUGUCGGGUAAGUUCCGACCCGCACGAAAGGCGUAAUGAUUUGGAUACUGUCUCGGAGAGAGGCUCGGUGAAAUAGACUUGUCUGUGAAGAUGCGGACUACCUGCACCAGGACAGAAAGACCCUAUGAAGCUUUACUGUAACUUGAAAUUGGAAUUGGACUUUGCUUGCGCAGUAUAGGUGGGAAGCGUUGAAGAUAUUCUUGCGGGAGUAUUGGAGCUAUCAGUGAGAUACCACUCUUGUAAUGUUAGAUUUCUAACUUUGAACCAUAAUCUGGUCAAAGAACAGUUUCAGGUGGGCAGUUUGACUGGGGCGGUCGCCUCCCAAAUGGUAACGGAGGCGUACAAAGGUUUCCUCUGAACGGAUAGAAAUCGUAUCUAGAGUGUAAAGGCAUAAGGAAGCUUGACUGUGAGACCUACAAGUCGAGCAGGGACGAAAGUCGGUCUUAGUGAUCUGACGGUACUGAGUGGAAAGGCCGUCACUCAACGGAUAAAAGUUACUCUAAGGAUAACAGGCUGAUCUCCCCCAAGAGUUCACAUCGACGGGGAGGUUUGGCACCUCGAUGUCGGCUCAUCGCAUCCUGGGGCGGUAGUACGUCCCAAGGGUUGGGCUGUUCGCCCAUGAAAGCGGUACGCGAGCUGGGUUCAGAACGUCGUGAGACAGUUCGGUCCAUAUCCGGUGUAGGCGUUAGAAUAUUGAGAGGAGCCUUCUUUAGUACGAGAGGACCGAGAAGGACACACCGCUGGUGUACCAGUUAUCGUGCCAACGGUAAACGCUGGGUAGCUAUGUGUGGAGUGGAUAACCGCUGAAAGCAUCUAAGUGGGAAGCCCACCUCAAGAUGAGUGCUCUCACAGGGUUAACCUGGUAAGGUCACGGGAAGACCACCCGUUAAUAGGCACUAGGUGGAAGUCCAGUAAUGGAUGGAGCCAAGGUGUACUAACAGACCGAGGGCUUGAC
RNAcentral lists this ribosomal RNA (1267 nucleotides) under metagenome. RNAcentral describes it as "bacterial LSU rRNA". It matches the Rfam family "Bacterial large subunit ribosomal RNA", at positions 1644 to 2925 of the family's 2925-position model. The record is from RNAcentral.